This is a long non-coding RNA of Acanthochromis polyacanthus (spiny chromis), 372 nucleotides long. RefSeq lists it as uncharacterized. The record is from RefSeq and is a predicted model, not a curated record. NCBI's taxonomy places the organism in Eukaryota, Metazoa, Chordata, Actinopteri, Pomacentridae. The transcript has 3 exons.
UUUCUCCAGCUGUCAGUAGGUCUACUCUAGAACUUUCUCCAGCUGUCAGUAGGUCUACUCUAGAACUUUCUCCAGUUGUCGGUAGGUCUACUCUAGAACUUUCUCCAGUUGUCGGUAGGUCUACUCUAGAACUUUCUCCAGGUGUCGGUAGGUCUACUCUAGAACUUUCUCCAGUUGUCGGUAGGUCUACUCUAGAACUUUCUCCAGUUGUCGGUAGGUCUACUCUAGAACUUUCUCCAGUUGUCGGUAGGUCUACUCUAGAACUUUCUCCAGUUGUCGGUAGGUCUACUCUAGAACUUUCUCCAGUUGUCGGUAGGUCUACUCUAGAACUUUCUCCAGUUGUCGAUAGGUCUACUCUAGAACUUUCUCCAG